Molecule: long non-coding RNA, 556 nt
Organism: Bos taurus (domestic cattle)
Lineage: Eukaryota; Metazoa; Chordata; Mammalia; Artiodactyla; Bovidae
Source: Ensembl
AUUCAACAGAAGCUUACUGAGCAGCUACCACGUGCAGGCCCCAUUCUGGGUGUUGGGGGAAUCUCAGGAAAGAAACAGACCAAAGUCAGAAUACCUGUCCUUGGAGCAGGCUGAAUGAAAGAACACGACGUGGAUCUACCAUUGGCCCUUCCAGGGUGUGUAGUUCGCUCAGAGAUGAAGAGCAAGGGCAUUACCAGGAAGGGGAACAGCAUAAGCUAAGGCCUGCAGAGCAGUCAUGCUGGAGAGGAGAAGGCCAUCAAGCCCUGGUCUGCAGGAAAAGCCAAAGCAGGGCCCCUCGCCUCCAUCCCAUCCUGCCUGCCCUCGUCACCUGCAUGGCAGAGAGAUGGCCUCUGCUCCUGCAGUGGGACCACUAGGCUUUAGGCAUGAGAUUAGGUGAUGUUAACCUCCACUUCACUCACUCCCCAGACCAGCCCCCUCCCCAGCCCUUCAUGGAUCACUUCAGGGUCAGACAGGCAUAUGUGGCUAUUAGCCCAGAGUCUGUAACAGAACCCUACUGGGGCUCAUCCAGUUUCUCUCACAUGCCUCCAGUGAUAGG